AGCGAACGCUGGCGGCAUGCUUAACACAUGCAAGUCGCACGGUCGGGUUUCGGCCCGGCAGUGGCGGACGGGUGAGUAACGCGUAGGUAUCUAUCCUUGGAUGGGGGACGAACCGUACGGGAACGUAACGCGUAAUAACCGCCAUGACGACCCGACGGUCCGAAACGGACCGGCCGAGGCCGGUCCUGGGGAGGGAGCCUCG
RNAcentral lists this ribosomal RNA (202 nucleotides) under uncultured bacterium. RNAcentral's name for it is "partial 16S ribosomal RNA". It matches the Rfam family "Bacterial small subunit ribosomal RNA", at positions 29 to 235 of the family's 1533-position model. The record is from RNAcentral.